Molecule: long non-coding RNA, 263 nt
Filed under: Setaria viridis
Lineage: Eukaryota; Viridiplantae; Streptophyta; Magnoliopsida; Poales; Poaceae
Description: long non-coding RNA (SVIR_LNC004907)
Source: RNAcentral
CGAGAUGGUAGUGGAACCGGCGAUGACGCCAAUGGUGGGGGAAAUAGCGAUUAAAUAAGGAGUUUCUCUCCUUCCAUGGGAAGUUGCGCCACCUUCCCUAAGAAGCUAGGCAACCGGCACAUCUUGAAGAUGGAAACUAACUCCUCGAAGGAUUUGUUUUUUGGCUACCAGUGGUGUUCACGAAUAAGCUUCUUAGCUGCCAAAUUUGAUCUGCCUCAUCCAUAACUUCCCCCUUCUCUGCCUAUUACGAGUCCUCCACUGUU